GUUAGUGGCGCACGGGUGCGUAACGCGUGGGAAUCUGCCCCUUGCUUCGGAAUAACAGUUAGAAAUGACUGCUAAUACCGGAUACGACCUCCGACCGCAUGGUCAGGGGGUGGAAAGAAUUUUGGUGGAGGAUGGACUCGCGGCCUAUCAGGUAGUUGGUGAGGUAAUGGCUCACCAAGCCGACGACGGGUAGCCGGCCUGAGAGGGUGACCGGCCACACUGGGACUGAGACACGGCCCAGACUCCUACGGGAGGCAGCAGUGGGGAAUAUUGCACAAUGGGCGAAAGCCUGAUGCAGCAACGCCGCGUGAGGGACGACGGCCUUCGGGUUGUAAACCUCUUUUAGUAGGGAAGAAGCGAAAGUGACGGUACCUGCAGAAAAAGCACCGGCUAACUACGUGCCAGCAGCCGCGGUAAUACGUAGGGUGCAAGCGUUGUCCGGAAUUAUUGGGCGUAAAGAGCUCGUAGGCGG
RNAcentral lists this ribosomal RNA (472 nucleotides) under uncultured Microbacteriaceae bacterium. RNAcentral describes it as "bacterial SSU rRNA". It matches the Rfam family "Bacterial small subunit ribosomal RNA", at positions 91 to 578 of the family's 1533-position model. The record is from RNAcentral. Lineage: Bacteria; Bacillati; Actinomycetota; Actinomycetes; Micrococcales; Microbacteriaceae.